GUCAAAUCCUUAUCACCAGCUAUGGCCGUCAAAACACCCCUGCCCUCUCCAUCUCGGCUCCUGGGCAUCAGCCCCCACGCCAGAAGCUAGGGCACCGUCCCCUUGAUGUUUCCCAUGGUGCCUCUCCUGUAUUUCUCUGGCCGUCAGCUACGGCGCUCGUCGUAGGCGCUGCCUGCCGUGCCCCUGUCCAGUUCUCCACGUCGUCACUGAGCUCGCCCCUGCCCAAGUCCGGUCGCCUCUGUUCCCUCCUCUCUGUGCGUCUGGUGGCAAGUCACCGUCGACCCUGCCAUGGUGCUGGUUGCCGCAGCACCUGCGUCCUUGCUUCGCCAGUCCGCCUAGGUCCGACCAUGGAGCUCGCCCAACUCCCUAGUCACCUCUGCUCGCCACUCUCUAUCUCAGUUUGAGCAGCAGCACGCUAGGGCAGACCUAUGUUCGCGACGCUCGCCAAGUGCUCGAUGAAAUACCGUAGCGAGCUCCACCUCGAUCUGCGCAGCCCCAACUCGCGACGUCACAAUACCCUUGCCCUCCAUCGAUGUUGCGCCUCGCGCAUCGCAUGCUCGACAAAAAUCCCAAGCCCGUGGACAGCACACACGCGACCCGAGUUUGAUUCUGCCAGGUUGUUUAAUGUGAUUUUCUAUCCAUGCGAUUUGUCGAUGUUGUGUAUAUGUGUGGUUGAACGGAGUACGCGAAGGAUGAAUUAGUAGAAUCUGUCGGUGUCACUUGUAAAUUUGAAAUACAAGCGAGUACAUAUGCGUGUUACAUGUGUGUUUAUAAUUCUAGUGCUCCAAAUAAUUUGAAUGUAAUUAGUAAAUCAAAUGUUGGUUCUCAUUUGGUUGUUUGAACUCUAAUGAAUUAUAAAAUGAUGAAGUAUUUCUAA
Long non-coding RNA from Zea mays, 877 nucleotides. RefSeq lists it as uncharacterized. The record is from RefSeq and is a predicted model, not a curated record. The transcript has 2 exons. Lineage: Eukaryota; Viridiplantae; Streptophyta; Magnoliopsida; Poales; Poaceae.